UAGAGUUUGAUCCUGGCUCAGAUUGAACGCUGGCGGCAGGCUUAACACAUGCAAGUCGAGCGGGGAAAGGUAGCUUGCUACCUAACCUAGCGGCGGACGGGUGAGUAAUGCUUAGGAAUCUGCCUAUUAGUGGGGGACAACAUUCCGAAAGGAAUGCUAAUACCGCAUACGCCCUACGGGGGAAAGCAGGGGAUCUUCGGACCUUGCGCUAAUAGAUGAGCCUAAGUCAGAUUAGCUAGUUGGUGGGGUAAAGGCCUACCAAGGCGACGAUCUGUAGCGGGUCUGAGGGGAUGAUCCGCCACACUGGGACUGAGACACGGCCCAGACUCCUACGGGAGGCAGCAGUGGGGAAUAUUGGACAAUGGGCGAAAGCCUGAUCCAGCCAUGCCGCGUGUGUGAAGAAGGCCUUUUGGUUGUAAAGCACUUUAAGCGAGGAGGAGGCUACUUAGAUUAAUACUCUAGGAUAGUGGACGUUACUCGCAGAAUAAGCACCGGCUAACUCUGUGUCAGCAGCCGCGGUAAUACAGAGGGUGCGAGCGUUAAUCGGAUUUACUGGGCGUAAAGCGUGCGUAGGCGGCUUCUUAAGUCGGAUGUGAAAUCCCUGAGCUUAACUUAGGAAUUGCAUUCGAUACUGGGAAGCUAGAGUAUGGGAGAGGAUGGUAGAAUUCCAGGUGUAGCGGUGAAAUGCGUAGAGAUCUGGAGGAAUACCGAUGGCGAAGGCAGCCAUCUGGCCUAAUACUGACGCUGAGGUACGAGAGCAUGGGGAGCAAACAGGAUUAGAUACCCUGGUAGUCCAUGCCGUAAACGAUGUCUACUAGCCGUUGGGGCCUUUGAGGCUUUAGUGGCGCAGCUAACGCGAUAAGUAGACCGCCUGGGGAGUACG
Molecule: ribosomal RNA, 883 nt
Filed under: uncultured bacterium
Lineage: Bacteria
Description: bacterial SSU rRNA
Rfam family: Bacterial small subunit ribosomal RNA
Source: RNAcentral